AUAGGCAUUUUACCAGGAAAAAAUAAAGAAAACAAGAGAUGACUAACCAGAUACUUAAAGGGGAAUCACGGUCGUGGGGCAGAUGUGGUCCACUGUGACGUCACUAGAAGGACAACAUUACAUGCUUCCUACAGGGUGGGGCAAGUGACAAGUUUCGUGGGGUCUCUAGAAUGAAAGUGAAAAGCCGCCUCUAACUGCCAGAACGAAACAGCUUGUGUCGCCUUUUGUAUCUGAGAUGUAACUUCUGGGCUGGCGAGGUGGCUCAGAGGGCGAAUGGUGCUUGCGGUUUGUCUAUCCCUGCUGCAGCGCCUCAGGCUCAGCACCAAGUGAGGGGCAGGACACCAUUCAAAAGACCCACUUCACUGGCGCGCCCUCCUCUCCUCCAGCAACAACUCUCCAAUCUUCUAAAUCCACAGUGGACAUGGAAUCUCAGCGUGAGUUCCUGUGGAUUGCACAACAAACUACCAACCAGAAGCAUUUGCUCAUGACACGAGAGGCCAGAAGUCAAAAGUCAAAGCGCUGCUCAGCUGGGUUCCUCAGAAUCCCCAGGAGGAGGAUUGCUUUCCCUACCUCCCUGCUAGCCCCAGACAGUGCAAAUAAACCAGGAUUACACUGAA
Rattus norvegicus (Norway rat) is the source of this 617-nucleotide non-coding RNA. The record is from RefSeq and is a predicted model, not a curated record. Lineage: Eukaryota; Metazoa; Chordata; Mammalia; Rodentia; Muridae.